CACGAGACCGAUAGCGAACAAGUACCAUGAGGGAAAGUUGAAAAGAACUUUGAAGAGAGAGUUCAAGAGUACGUGAAACCGUUCAGGGGUAAACCUGAGAAACCCGAAAAUUCGAAUGGGGAGAUUCAUCGUCAGUGGUGCUGGCUUCGCAGUGGUGGGCGAUGCUAUGAGCUGCGGUUCAUGGCACGUUGCCGCUGUGUAUGUCCGGUGUCGUCGUCGUGCACUUCUCCCCUAGUAGGACGUCGCGACCCGCUGGGUGUUGGACUACGGCCUGGAUGGUAGCCUGUCUCGUCGCUACGGCGUUCGUGACAGACCUUCAGUGUCUCCCGUCCAACUGCUCGGCGGUAUUUUGCGAUAGUAUUCGGCCGCAACAGAUGUUAUCGAGUUGCGUCAUUGGCCCGUGGCAAGCGCGGUCAGUGUCCCGUGUGGUACGGACUCAGUGCCGACGCCGGGCCUGGCCAACUGUUGGCUCACGGUGUCCUCUGACAGGCCGCU
Molecule: ribosomal RNA, 495 nt
Filed under: Auplopus carbonarius
Lineage: Eukaryota; Metazoa; Arthropoda; Insecta; Hymenoptera; Pompilidae
Description: eukaryotic LSU rRNA
Rfam family: Eukaryotic large subunit ribosomal RNA
Source: RNAcentral